AUGAACAUUGCUCUCCUGACCCGCUGGCUUUGGCGCAUCGCCAAUGGGGAAGGAGGCCUCUGGCUCACCAUUAUCCGUAAUAAGUACCUUAGGGGCCAACCCCUUGCCUUCUACCAGCGAUCGGGUGGCUCCCAGUUUUGGCAGUCGGUGAUCCAGCUCCUGCCCGUCCUCCGCAUUGGCACGUCCAUCUCAGUUUGCUACGUGUCUUCAACCCUGUUCUGGUUUGACCGGUGGUUAGGGGACUCCUCCCUCGUGGUGCGAUUCCCUGACCUAUUCGCUAUUGCGGUUGACCCUCGGGUCUCUGUCGAGACGACCCUUAUUGACUUAGGGCGCCUCGCUUUCCGGCGCCCCUUCGCCCCCCUUGAGGUGGCUGCUUGGGACUCCCUCCUCCAGGACAUCACCCUUCUGCCGAUGGACGUUGAGGAGACCCCGGAUUCCCUCUCCUGGCGCCUUGAGCCAUUGGGCCGCUUCUCCACGAAGUCCCUGUACGCCGCCAUUGCUCCCUCGGCGGCCCCGGAGCCUUUUAGCCUGGUCUGGGACAUCCGCCUGCCUCUGAAGAUCAGGAUUUUCCUGUGGCAAUCGAUUCGUGGACGCCUCCCCUUUAGGGUUGAAGUCCUCAAGCGUAACGGACCGGGCGAUGGGAUGUGCCCCAUUUGUGGCACGAUUGAAAGAUGCCAACCACAUCUUCUUCUCGUGCACCACUGCCCAGUUCCUCUGGGCUUUCUUCCGCGAGGUGGUCGGUGGACAGUGGUGCAACACCAACUUCCCCGACCUACUUGCGGAGCUGAACGCUUCCCCCCCCUCGCUACCACCAUAUUAGAUGGCUGUGCGUGGGGGUCCUCUCCUGGACGCUAUGGACCGUCCGUAAUAAGUUUGUUAUUCAGAAAGUGCCUCUCCGACGUGCGACUGACGCGAUCUUCAAAAUGUGUGGCUACUUGCAGCUUUGGCGGCCGCUUAGCCGCCCCCAAGACUGGGACGUCAUCACCACCCUCCUCGCCGACCUUCGCUCAUGGCUCUCCGCGUGGCGCCCCUGCUACCGCCUCCUCCCCCAGAACCUGA
RNAcentral lists this ribosomal RNA (1059 nucleotides) under Triticum aestivum (bread wheat). Its description in RNAcentral is "partial small subunit ribosomal RNA". The record is from RNAcentral. Lineage: Eukaryota; Viridiplantae; Streptophyta; Magnoliopsida; Poales; Poaceae.